GAUGAACGCUGGCGGCGUGCCUAAUACAUGCAAGUCGAGCGAACAGACGAGGAGCUUGCUCCUCUGACGUUAGCGGCGGACGGGUGAGUAACACGUGGAUAACCUACCUAUAAGACUGGGAUAACUUCGGGAAACCGGAGCUAAUACCGGAUAAUAUAUUGAACCGCAUGGUUCAAUAGUGAAAGACGGUUUUGCUGUCACUUAUAGAUGGGUCCGCGCCGCAUUAGCUAGUUGGUAAGGUAACGGCUUACCAAGGCAACGAUGCGUAGCCGACCUGAGAGGGUGAUCGGCCACACUGGAACUGAGACACGGUCCAGACUCCUACGGGAGGCAGCAGUAGGGAAUCUUCCGCAAUGGGCGAAAGCCUGACGGAGCAACGCCGCGUGAGUGAUGAAGGUCUUCGGAUCGUAAAACUCUGUUAUUAGGGAAGAACAAAUGCGUAAGUAACUAUGCACGUCUUGACGGUACCUAAUCAGAAAGCCACGGCUAACUACGUG
RNAcentral lists this ribosomal RNA (497 nucleotides) under uncultured bacterium. RNAcentral's name for it is "partial 16S ribosomal RNA". It matches the Rfam family "Bacterial small subunit ribosomal RNA", at positions 28 to 507 of the family's 1533-position model. The record is from RNAcentral.